UACAGAGGGGGCAAGCGUUGUUCGGAAUUACUGGGCGUAAAGCGUGCGUAGGUGGUUUGUUAAGUCUGUUGUGAAAGCCCCGGGCUCAACCUGGGAAUGGCAAUGGAUACUGGCAAGCUAGAGUGCGGUAGAGGGUAGUGGAAUUCCCGGUGUAGCGGUGAAAUGCGUAGAGAUCGGGAGGAACACCAGUGGCGAAGGCGGCUACCUGGACCAGCACUGACACUGAGGCACGAAAGCGUGGGGAGCAAACAGG
This 253-nucleotide ribosomal RNA is filed under the name uncultured bacterium. Its description in RNAcentral is "partial 16S ribosomal RNA". It matches the Rfam family "Bacterial small subunit ribosomal RNA", at positions 524 to 776 of the family's 1533-position model. The record is from RNAcentral.